Molecule: transfer RNA, 72 nt
Filed under: Myotis davidii
Lineage: Eukaryota; Metazoa; Chordata; Mammalia; Chiroptera; Vespertilionidae
Rfam family: tRNA
About the family: Transfer RNA (tRNA) molecules are approximately 80 nucleotides in length. Their secondary structure includes four short double-helical elements and three loops (D, anti-codon, and T loops).
Source: Rfam by way of RNAcentral
GCCUAUGUGGCUCAGUUGGUUGGGCAUCAUCCCAUGCAUUGAAACUUGCUGGUUCAAUUCCUGCCAGGUGCA